This 253-nucleotide ribosomal RNA is filed under the name uncultured bacterium. Its description in RNAcentral is "partial 16S ribosomal RNA". It matches the Rfam family "Bacterial small subunit ribosomal RNA", at positions 524 to 776 of the family's 1533-position model. The record is from RNAcentral.
UACAUGGGGUGCAAACGUUGCUCGGAAUUAUUGGGCGUAAAGCGCACGUAGGCGGUCCGUUAAGUCGGAUGUGAAAGCCCCCGGCUCAACCGGGGAAGUGCAUCCGAAACUGGCAGGCUAGAGUACGAAAGAGGGUCGCGGAAUUCCCGGUGUAGAGGUGAAAUUCGUAGAUAUCGGGAGGAACACCGGUGGCGAAGGCGGCGACCUGGGUCGAUACUGACGCUGAGACGCGAAAGCGUGGGGAGCAAACAGG